GGAUGCUCCAGUUGRMYGCAUGKYCYUCUGGGAAAGMUUYWKCGGUAUGGGAUGGGGUCGCGUCCUAUCAGCUUGAUGGCGGGGUAACGGCCCACCAUGGCUUCGACGGGUAGCCGGCCUGAGAGGGCGACCGGCCACAUUGGGACUGAGAUACGGCCCAGACUCCUACGGGAGGCAGCAGUGGGGAAUAUUGCACAAUGGGCGCAAGCCUGAUGCAGCGACGCCGCGUGCGGGAUGACGGCCUUCGGGUUGUAAACCGCUUUUGACUGGGAGCAAGCCCUUCGGGGUGAGUGUACCUUUCGAAUAAGCACCGGCUAACUACGUGCCAGCAGCCGCGGUAAUACGUAGGGUGCAAGCGUUAUCCGGAAUUAUUGGGCGUAAAGGGCUCGUAGGCGGUUCGUCGCGUCCGGUGUGAAAGUCCAUCGCUUAACGGUGGAUCCGCGCCGGGUACGG
This 453-nucleotide ribosomal RNA is filed under the name uncultured Bifidobacterium sp. RNAcentral describes it as "partial 16S ribosomal RNA". It matches the Rfam family "Bacterial small subunit ribosomal RNA", at positions 171 to 635 of the family's 1533-position model. The record is from RNAcentral. Lineage: Bacteria; Bacillati; Actinomycetota; Actinomycetes; Bifidobacteriales; Bifidobacteriaceae.